AUGGAGUGUCACUCCGGCCUGAACACAUAGGGCCGGUAGAGGGAACUGGGUGAACUGAAACAUCUCAUUAACCCGAGGAAAUGAAAGCAAAAGCGACUCCCCGAGUAGCGGCGAGCGAAAAGGGAAGAGCCUAAACCUGACUGGUGUCAAGCCUGGCGGCGUUGCCAGUUGGGGGUUGUGGGACCGAAUGGGAGGAGCGUCAGAUCCUCCACGGAGUUACAAAUCUGUCAGCUAGCAGAAGCGUUUUGGAAUAGCGCGCCAUAGUGGGUAAGAGCCCCGUAAGCGAAAGCUGAGCAGACUCCGUUUCGUGCUCCCGAGUAACACCGGAUCCGGGAAAGCCGGUGUGAAUCUGCGAGGACCACCUCGUAAGGCUAAGUAUACGUAGUCGACCGAUAGCGAACUAGUACCGUGAGGGAAAGGUGAAAAGUACCCCGGGAGGGGAGUGAAAUAGUACCUGAAACCGUUGGUCUACAAUCAGUCAAAGCGUCGUUUCAAACUUCGGUUUGAAGCCGCAAUGGCGUGCCUUUUGAAGAAUGAGCCAACGAGUUACGGUGUGUGGCAAGGUUAACCCGUGAGGGGGAGCCGGAGCGAAAGCGAGUCUGAACAGGGCGUUCAGUCGCAUGCUGUAGACCCGAAGCCGAGUGAUCUAUCCAUGGGCAGUGUGAAGCGGGGGUAAGACCCCGUGGAGGCGCGAACCGACCUAGGUUGAAAACUGGGCGGAUGACCUGUGGAUAGGGGUGAAAGGCCAAUCAAACUCGGUGAUAGCUGGUUCUCCGCGAAAUGCAUUUAGGUGCAGCGUCGUAUGUUCAGUCAUGGAGGUAGAGCACUGAUUAGGUUAGGGGGCCUACAAGGUUACCGACCCCAACCAAACUCCGAAUGCCAUGACUCCAGAGCACGGCAGUGAGACCACGAGGGAUGAGCUUCGUUGGUCGAAAGGGAAACAGCCCAGAUCAUCAGCUAAGGCCCCUAAUUCUGUACUAAGUGGUAAACGAUGUGGGAUUGCACAGACAGCCAGGAGGUUGGCUUAGAAGCAGCCACCCUUGAAAGAGUGCGUAAUAGCUCACUGGUCGAGUGAUCCUGCGCGGACAAUGUAACGGGGCUCAAGUACAGAGCCGAAGCUAUGGGCUUCUGACUUUGUCAGGAGCGGUAGAGGAGCGUCGAUAGGGCUGUGAAGCGGAUUCGUAAGGGUUCGUGGAGCGCUAUCGAGUGAGAAUGCAGGCAUGAGUAACGAGAGAGGGGUGAGAAACCCCUCCGCCGAAAGCCCAAGGGUUCCUGGGGAAGGCUAAUCCCCCCAGGGUGAGUCGGGAGCUAAGGCGAGGCCGAAAGGCGUAGUCGAUGCACAACUGGUUGAUAUUCCAGUACCUCCGUGCCCGCGCCAAGUCCAAUAGUUGCAACGUUGGGGCUGUUCAUCUUUAUGUUGAGCGAGCUGACCGAGCGGCUGGCGGAUAGUUGACGGGGGACGCAGGAAGAUAAGUGAGCCCAGGCGAUGGUAGUCCUGGGGUAAGCGUGUAGGCGGUUCCCGAUGAGAGUUGGGAGCGUAACGCUGAGACGUGAUGCCGAACGACAUACUGUGAAGUCACUGAUUCUAUGCUGCCAAGAAAAGCCCAGCAAUGAGCUGGCACGGAGCCCGUACCCCAAACCGACACAGGUGGACAAGUAGAGAAUACUAAGGCGAGCGAGAGAACUCUGGUUAAGGAACUCGGCAAAAUAGUUCCGUAACUUCGGAAGAAGGAGGACCUGCUUUGGUGACGAGAUUUACUCUCCGAGCUGAGGUGGGUGGCACAGACCAGGGGGUAGCGACUGUUUACCAAAAACACAGCAGGGUGCGAAGCCGUAAGGCGAUGUAUACCCUGUGACGCCUGCCCAAUGCUUGAAGGUCACGGGGAACGGUUAGUUCUUUAUUGAGCGAAGCUGUGAACCUAAGCCCAAGUGAAUGGCGGCCGUAACUAUAACGGUCCUAAGGUAGCGAAAUUCCUUGUCGGGUAAGUUCCGACCUGCACGAAUGGCGUAAC
This 2012-nucleotide ribosomal RNA is filed under the name Fidelibacterota bacterium. RNAcentral describes it as "partial 23S ribosomal RNA". It matches the Rfam family "Bacterial large subunit ribosomal RNA", at positions 140 to 2005 of the family's 2925-position model. Lineage: Bacteria; Pseudomonadati; Fidelibacterota. The record is from RNAcentral.